Molecule: microRNA precursor, 87 nt
Filed under: Pelobates cultripes (western spadefoot toad)
Lineage: Eukaryota; Metazoa; Chordata; Amphibia; Anura; Pelobatidae
Source: RNAcentral
CCAGCAGACCCUCCCUCCCAGACCCUCCUACUUCCUGGACAGCAUCCAGGAAGUAGGAGGGUCUGGGAGGGAGGGUCUGCUGGAGAU